Molecule: ribosomal RNA, 537 nt
Filed under: uncultured Methanomicrobiales archaeon
Lineage: Archaea; Methanobacteriati; Methanobacteriota; Methanomicrobia; Methanomicrobiales
Description: bacterial SSU rRNA
Rfam family: Archaeal small subunit ribosomal RNA
Source: RNAcentral
GGCCCUACGGGGCGCAGCAGGCGCGAAAACUUUACAAUGCAGGCAACUGUGAUAAGGGAACCCCGAGUGCCCGUAUGGACGGGCUGUUCAGGUGCUUAAAAACCACCUGGAGAAAGGGCCGGGCAAGACCGGUGCCAGCCGCCGCGGUAAUACCGGCGGCCCGAGUGGUGGCCACUAUUACUGGGCUUAAAGCGUCCGUAGCUUGGUCGUUAAGCCUCUGGGGAAAUCUUCCGGCUCAACCGGAAGGCGUCUCAGGGGAACUGGCGACCUAGGGAUCGGGAGAGGUGAGAGGUACUCUGGGGGUAGGAGUGAAAUCCUGUAAUCCUCAGGGGACCACCUGUGGCGAAGGCGUCUCACCAGAACGACUCCGACAGUGAGGGACGAAAGCUGGGGGAGCAAACCGGAUUANAUNCCCGGGUAGUCCCAGCCGUAAACNAUGCGCGUUAGGUGUAUCGGUGACCACNAGUUACCNANGUGCCGAAGGGAAACCAUGAAACGCGCCGCCUGGGACGUNCGGNCGCAAGGCUGAANCUUAAA